UACAGAGGGUGCGAGCGUUAAUCGGAUUUACUGGGCGUAAAGGGCGCGUAGGUGGCAAAGCAAGUAAGAUGUGAAAGCCCUGGGCUUAACCUGGGAAGUGCAUCUUAAACUGCUUAGCUAGAGUAUGGUAGAGGGUAGUGGAAUUUCCGGUGUAGCGGUGAAACGCGUAGAGAUCGGAAGGAACGCCAGUGGUGAAGACGACUACCUGGACCAAUACUGACUCUGAGGCGCGAAAGCGUGGGGAUCAAACAGG
Molecule: ribosomal RNA, 253 nt
Filed under: uncultured bacterium
Lineage: Bacteria
Description: partial 16S ribosomal RNA
Rfam family: Bacterial small subunit ribosomal RNA
Source: RNAcentral